Long non-coding RNA from Pristis pectinata (smalltooth sawfish), 2051 nucleotides. RefSeq lists it as uncharacterized. The record is from RefSeq and is a predicted model, not a curated record. Lineage: Eukaryota; Metazoa; Chordata; Chondrichthyes; Rhinopristiformes; Pristidae. The transcript has 3 exons.
CUGUGUUGGCCAGAACUGCAUACAAUAUUCUAACCGCUGAUUUGUAAAGUGAAGGAAUUAGGUAUUCUGCCAAGAGAAGAGAAAUUAGGUUUUCGUGCAAAGCGCGUGUCCCAGGAGAACGAGCUGCCGGGGUGACCGGGAUAGCCAUGCCUCGCUCUGCUACGCCAACCUCACCUCAACGAUAGCUCAGAUCCAAUUAGGUAAAACUAAAGCGAAGGUGGGGUGAAAUCUGAAGGAUCCACUUCGAGCGUGAGUGAGCCAGUGACCAACGUAGAUGGAAAGGCAAUGGAUGUUUCUCGCACUCACAUUCCUACAGCACAGAUAUCGUCUUGUGCUUGACUGAAGGAUUCUACCCCUAGUGAAUCUGUUGCUGAUUCAGCUUUAGAAGAAUGAGUCAUAGCCUUCAUCCUGAACUUUUAUAGCAUCUGGAUUUUCCCAUUCUGUUCACACGCAACUGAGGAACACACACAACACACUCUUUGUGCCACACGAGGCAACCUUUGUCAUCAUGGGAUGUGUGAUGUGUUCUCCCCUGGCUGAAAUGUGGGGCUUCUCUUCAAAGGAGCACCGGAGGAAUAAUUGCAUGGAGCUGUCGCUUUUCCCCAACUCAUGUCUCUCACAGUACCAGAGGGUCUCGGGGUUACAUUACUUGUCCUCUUUCUCUGAGGCAGAGGACUGCUGUGAGGAGAGUUCUGCAUCUGGAGACUCAGAUUCUGAGAUGACCUGAGUGAGGAUUAUGAAAGAUGAAGCAACACUGAGAAUUGAACUGGAUUACUGGUAUUAAAUCAAUCUCCUUUGUGUGAUUUUACCGCAUAAAUAGGACUUUUUUCCCCCUUUCUCUUGCCCAGUACUCAAAAUGAGAAAUAAAUGCAAGUGAAGAAGAUACAAAUCGGCCAGGCUUUUGGGAUUAGAUUGCUGUCCUGUUCUGUAGUUUGGUUAUGAUAUCUAUCACUGCUAAGUAAUCAGCAGACAUAACAACAGCUGGCUUAGAGUGUUCCCUUCUGAUGGAAGAGUGUUUCAAACCUUAUAUUAACAUUUGGAUGAGGUAUGGUGGCUCCACAGCCUUCCAGGAAUCUUUGGAGUGGAGUGACGGAGUAAAUGAAAGAAUGACAGAGCGAAUGGACUCUAGUGGAGAAUUAAGUACAGGCUAAAGCCAUUUGGCUCCUUAUGCUUGCCAUCGAAUUAGAUCAGAGGUGCACAACUCAGCCUGCAGGGUCACAUGUAGUCCAAUCAACACACUCAAAUGAUAACAGAUUCAAAGCAAUUUUUACAUGGAUACACAGAGUGUAAGUUGGAUGGAUGCAGCCCUCGUAACAUAGUGAGACCCACAGGAACAGCUACUUUGGCAAUUAGAUUGAGAACCAUUGAAUAAAUAAUAGCUGAUCUGUUCCUUAACUCCAUCCAUUCACUUAGGCUCUCAAAUUUGUCUAAAUGCUCAGUCACUCGAUCCAAAAUGAAAAUAUUUACUAAGUUCCCAUAAGUGAUAAAAGAUAAUUUAUUUGUUUAUUUUCAUGCCUUCCUAAUUAAUGGCUUUAGCAUUUUCCCAUCCAAGGGGAUAAUUUCUGAAUCACUGAAGUUUUGGAGAAUCUGGACAAAUGAAUCUGGACAAAUUUCCUCACCUUUUAGUACCUCGGAUGGAAAUCUUUGGGUCUGGGUGAUUUGCCUUUCUUUAACCAUUUUUGUCAUAGAGGUUAAUUGUUGCUUGUAUUUUUGUUGGACUGAGGGUACUGUGUGACUGAAGGUUUAGAUCCUGUUGUGAUGUUCCUUUCAUCAACAUGAAGUUAUAAGCCUGAAUAUAUUCCUUCUAGUAGUGUCUGUGUAUGUGAUCUAAAUGUAUAAAGGAGCAACGAAAACUUUUACAGUCAUAAUGAAUAGAAUAAGCAGCAUAACCUGUCAGUCAACAGAUUAGUAUUGAAUAUUAUUACAGUUAAAGGGUUAAUUAUGGAUUCCUUGUCAACUCAAUUACAGCUGAAGAAGAGCCAAAGUAAUUGACUAAAUGUCCUGAAGUUAUUAAACAUCAAAGGUGACCCUGAAGGUGGGAGGAUAUUGAA